Long non-coding RNA from Hippocampus zosterae (dwarf seahorse), 721 nucleotides. RefSeq lists it as uncharacterized. The transcript has 4 exons. The record is from RefSeq and is a predicted model, not a curated record. NCBI's taxonomy places the organism in Eukaryota, Metazoa, Chordata, Actinopteri, Syngnathiformes, Syngnathidae.
ACACAGCGAAAGUUCCAUGCGCCCACUGUCUACCAUAUUCUUAGCGCUCCCACUGCCCUGUUCGAUAGCGUGACCAGCUCUUGCAUAACAUGAAUAACACAGGGACAAGCACUGAACGGUGUUGCUCAACCACCUGCUUUGAUCUGGAAUGUAUCCUAAAAGGGUUGGAUUCACUAUCUGAUUGCAUGGAUCAACUGGCACUCCAAACCCAGCUUAGGCAGUGUGAUCUGAUCCUUUGUGUCGGCCACCCUGACAAGCUGGAACACCUGAAAAUCAGGGAGGCACCUCAGCAGGCGCCGCAAGCUUCUCCUGGAAACCAUAGAGAGGCAAAGGAAGAUGUGCAUGUGUGUGUUUCUUCUUCAUACCAGUUAGGAGGCCAACCUUGAAGCUACCAAACCAAGACACCAAAAGCACAACAUCGACUUAUCGGUAUGGCAAGCCAGGUAUUCUAUUUGGGUUUGAAACUGGUCUCUGUUGUAGGUUUCUUUUGACAACGCCACCCUCUGCUGUUCGUUUUUUGAAAGACAUGGGUGAAAACGAGUUGCGUUGUGAUUUACCUGUGCACUUUUUUUUGUUUUUUAUUUUUUUAGUAAAUUCCCCUCUUUGUUUUGCAGCAUGAUCCCCAUGCUCAUUUUUGUGCUUUGUCACAUCCUAUGCGUGUAAAUGAGUGUUUAAUCUCAAACAAAACCUCUGCAUGUAGAAAACAAUAAAGCAGUUAAAU